UGACCGUGUCGGCAUGUGAGUGGUGAUGGAUUUGUAUGCCAUGGUGGGCUCCCUGCUAUCGUGCAGCUGACCAUCGAUGCUGCAAGGGCGUCAUGGAGGACGUGCU
This 106-nucleotide unclassified non-coding RNA is filed under the name Musa coccinea. Its description in RNAcentral is "partial external transcribed spacer". The record is from RNAcentral. Lineage: Eukaryota; Viridiplantae; Streptophyta; Magnoliopsida; Zingiberales; Musaceae.